CUGCAAUGAUGAACUUAUUAAAAUCUACUGAAUCUAUCAAAUGUUGAUUCAAACCGAGCUUUUUAAAACUGAGCAGC
Small nucleolar RNA from Xenia sp. Carnegie-2017, 77 nucleotides. NCBI's taxonomy places the organism in Eukaryota, Metazoa, Cnidaria, Anthozoa, Malacalcyonacea, Xeniidae. The record is from RefSeq and is a predicted model, not a curated record.